AUGUUAAUGGAAUCAUUGUUGAUAACAAAACAUAAAACUCGUCUCUUGCUAGUGAGAUGCUUUCUUUGGAGUUAUCUCAAUAGAGAAUAAUAAUGAAGCAUCUAAAUGAGAAGCUGCUGUGACCAAUCACAACUUUAUCAAGUCAUAAUUCCAUGCUAAUAAGCCAAAUAUAAACAAAUUAAAGAAAAACAAGUGAGCUUUGAACUUCACU
RNAcentral lists this long non-coding RNA (211 nucleotides) under Monodelphis domestica (gray short-tailed opossum). RNAcentral's name for it is "lncRNA (ENSMODG00000034032.2)". Lineage: Eukaryota; Metazoa; Chordata; Mammalia; Didelphimorphia; Didelphidae. The record is from RNAcentral.